GCUCACAUAGCUCAGUCGGCAGAGCGCGUCCUUGGUAAGGACGAGGUCACCGGUUCGAUCCCGGUUGUGAGCUCCA
Molecule: transfer RNA, 76 nt
Filed under: Bacillota bacterium
Lineage: Bacteria; Bacillati; Bacillota
Description: Firmicutes bacterium (anaerobic digester metagenome) tRNA-Thr
Rfam family: tRNA
About the family: Transfer RNA (tRNA) molecules are approximately 80 nucleotides in length. Their secondary structure includes four short double-helical elements and three loops (D, anti-codon, and T loops). Further hydrogen bonds mediate the characteristic L-shaped molecular structure. tRNAs have two regions of fundamental functional importance: the anti-codon, which is responsible for specific mRNA codon recognition, and the 3' end, to which the tRNAs corresponding amino acid is attached (by aminoacyl-tRNA synthetases). tRNAs cope with the degeneracy of the genetic code in two manners: having more than one tRNA (with a specific anti-codon) for a particular amino acid; and 'wobble' base-pairing, i.e. permitting non-standard base-pairing at the 3rd anti-codon position.
Source: RNAcentral